CUGGACGGGCGGGCUGUGGCCAGGUGCGGGAACCGACGACUCGGGCACUGCCACCUGCACGCCCGCCUGGCACCCUCGUCUUUCCCCCUUGGAAAGGCCUUUUUUGUUUCGUUUUAACGUUUAACUUCACCCUAACUGCAGGCUCUCAGAGCGGACUUACUUCUUAGUUGGGUGAUCGGAUAAACUCAUUGGAUCUAGUCCUUAGCGAAGGACGGCAGAGCGCCGCGCUCGCAGAGAGCGCUUACAUUUGUUUCAUUUGUGAAACAAUCGUGACCCGCAGUGCCGCUUCGAAUAAUAAGCGAAGUGAGAAUUUGAGGUCCCUGACCAGCCUGACUGAGGAAAUGCCAGCUGGUGUUAGGUAACUGGCUGAGGAAGGAGAAACCCUGCCGAGGAAGUCCCCAGUGGAGAAGCCCACGAAGUGUGCCAAUCCGCACUCGUGCAUGCUGGUGCUCUUCGGGAACCCGAACAAGCCGUACUGGGAAAGGGAGAUUUUUUAACUGAAAUAUUGACAUAGUUAUCAAAAGUUAGAUAUACCUUGGAUGUCCUGAUAAGUAAACUAUUUAUUUCAACUCUUCUGUCUCUUACUGUUUUAAAAGAUGCAAGUUACCAGGUCCAACGGAGGUUGUUGAGAACCAUGUCAGCAGCCACCUACCAUGCUGUCAAAGCACAAUACACUGAUUUUAGGAAUCUGAGCCUCCAAGAGUCUUUCUUGCACAUCUUGAAACAGUAUGUCUGUGUGCUAUCUUUAUCACGAAGAAAGUAGUUAUCUGAGAGUCUAGUUCCAUGAAACUUAGUUUUUGGCUACUAAAUUGAAUGACACAUUUUCUGCCCUUGAGUAAGAGAGAUGUAAGCAGACAACUGCUGUCUUGGUAUUGUAAGAGAUAAAGGCCUGCACAGAGUGUUCCGGUUGUGGGAAAAGGACAAAUGAAACAUUUUGUUCUAGGUCAUGGUUAGGGAAGUCAGCAGAAUAGGGAGAGGUAAAAAGAAAAUGAAAAGAUUAUAUAAAGAAUCAGACUAAGAAGUUAAUCUUAUACAUCAG
Long non-coding RNA from Heterocephalus glaber (naked mole-rat), 1039 nucleotides. Lineage: Eukaryota; Metazoa; Chordata; Mammalia; Rodentia; Bathyergidae. The record is from Ensembl.